GGGAUGCCUAAGGUAGGACUGAUGACUGGGGUGAGUCGUAACAAGGUAGCCGUACCGGAAGGUGUGGUUGGAUCACCUCCUUUUAGGGAGACCUAAUCCAUUUAGAAUUUGAAAGCAAUGUAAAUUGCUAAUAGAAACUAAAUUGGUCUAACCUAGGUCGGUCGAGAUUGGUAGAUAUCUUUCAAAGUAUUAUUUGGCUUAGUUCAAAAACACAAAUCAAACUCAGCACCUAACAAUCAUAGUUAGACUGCUGGAUUAAAUUCCAGUCAGAACCUUGAAAACUGCAUAAGAGAAAGAGUAAAAAAGCAGGCAGUCAUCAUAGACUGCAAGUGGUCAAGAUAAUAAGGGCUAAUGGUGGAUACCUAGGCACCACAGAGGA
RNAcentral lists this unclassified non-coding RNA (379 nucleotides) under uncultured cyanobacterium. RNAcentral describes it as "partial 16S-23S ribosomal RNA intergenic spacer". The stretch from base 1 to 83 matches the Rfam family "Bacterial small subunit ribosomal RNA", at positions 1450 to 1533 of the family's 1533-position model. The record is from RNAcentral. Lineage: Bacteria; Bacillati; Cyanobacteriota.